RNAcentral lists this ribosomal RNA (494 nucleotides) under uncultured bacterium. RNAcentral describes it as "partial 16S ribosomal RNA". It matches the Rfam family "Bacterial small subunit ribosomal RNA", at positions 28 to 507 of the family's 1533-position model. The record is from RNAcentral.
GACGAACGCUGGCGGCGUGCUUAACACAUGCAAGUCGAACGGUGAAGCGCCUUCCUUUUUGGUGGGUGUGGAUGAGUGGCGAACGGGUGAGUAACACGUGAGUAACCUGCCCCCUUCUUCUGGAUAACCGCAUGAAAGUGUGGCUAAUACGGGAUAUUCUGGGUCUGUCGCAUGAUGGGUCUGGGAAAGAUAUUGUUUCGGUGGGGGAUGGGCUCGCGGCCUAUCAGCUUGUUGGUGGGGUGAUGGCCUACCAAGGCGGUGACGGGUAGCCGGCCUGAGAGGGUGGACGGUCACACUGGGACUGAGACACGGCCCAGACUCCUACGGGAGGCAGCAGUGGGGAAUAUUGCACAAUGGGCGCAGGCCUGAUGCAGCGACGCCGCGUGAGGGAUGGAGGCCUUCGGGUUGUGAACCUCUUUCGCCAGUGAAGCAGGCCUGCCUCGUUUGUGGGUGGGUUGACGGUAGCUGGAUAGGAAGCGCCGGCUAACUACGUG